Molecule: non-coding RNA, 1354 nt
Organism: Oryctolagus cuniculus (rabbit)
Lineage: Eukaryota; Metazoa; Chordata; Mammalia; Lagomorpha; Leporidae
Source: RefSeq, a predicted model, not a curated record
UGUAGCCCUCCCUGUCCCUGGGCUCGGGCCCCAGGCCCUGGCCUGGGGAGGAGGAGGAGGGUGCUGGCUCCUUCCUCCCCAGCUGAGCCCUCCCAGCUGUGCGUGCUGGGAACAGGCCAGGCGUUUGGGAAACCCUCGGGUGAGCCUGACCGCUGUCAUGAGGACUUGCCUGUGGACGCUGGGCUGGGGGAGGGGGAGGGGGCUGUUCCCAGAAGCCGGGAGAACUCUGGACUUCCCACUCCCGGGCUCUGGAUUGCAGCACCACCUUAAGCAACAGCCGCGUCCUGGAAGGCUGCUUUGCGGAGUAAAAAGCCCCGGGCCCUUUUCUGAAGAGGGCCCCGCCUUGGGAAGAAGCUGCAAAACCCAGACUUCAAACAAGCAUUCCAAGGACAACAAAGGAUCCGAGUAUUUACAUGGCACAAGAGUGUUUCCUCCCUUCCACGUCCCUCCCCCCGCAGUCUCAACCUUAGAAUGGCGGUGGAGGGCCGGGGCUGGGCUCAGCCGGUUACGCUGCUGCCCGCCACUCCAGCUUCCCAGGUGGGCGCCAGUCCCCGUCCCGGCUGCUCUGCUUCUGCUCCGGCUCCCUGCUAACGCACCUGGGAAAAGCAGUGGGGGGUGGGGGAGAGCUUGGGUGCCUGCCAUCCAUGCGGGAGGCCUAGAUGAAGCUUCUGGCGGUUGCGGCCGUUUAAGGAGUGAACCAGUGGAUGGAAGACCUCUCCGCUCUCUCUAUAACUCUGCUUUUCAAAGUAAAUCAAUCUUCUCUUCUCUCUUUUCCCCAGGAAAUAAUAAAUCAAUCUUUGAAAAAAAGAAAUCUUGGAGUCAUUUUGUACAGAUAAAUUUACUUCCUACCUAUAAUGUACAAGAUGUUGAAGGUACAGACAUGGACUAUAAAUCCAUCAAGCCCCACCCUCUGGCACAACUCCAGGGGGCGCAACAGGAGGAGGCCAGGCCCGGGGCCGGGGAGGCGCUGGUGCCGCAGGGGCUCCUCCACUUGAGGGUGCCACAGGAGAUGCUGGAGGUGACACCAGGGGAUACGCAGGAGGCUCGCAUUCUGAAGCGGAACCAGAUGUCAAAACCAAGAAGUCUCCUAAAAAGGACUGGGUGUAAAAAUAACAGAGCUCGCAGGGGCAGCUGGGGGUGCCCGGAGGAAAUGACCCCUCCCGGCUUCCCAGAAGGGAUGACUGGCGAGAGCAGAGGAAAGGCGAGGCGGCAGGUGCUUCGUCCACGGGCUCCCGAGGACGAGGACGGGGCAUUCUACAAUACCAGCAUCGGGGAAACAGCUGGAAACGGGAAACGCUGGGGACCUCCGCGAAGUUCCGCCAUGCCCUCCGCCAUGCUGGCCUCAGCCGAGUGA